Anastrepha obliqua is the source of this 1831-nucleotide long non-coding RNA. RefSeq lists it as uncharacterized. The transcript has 3 exons. NCBI's taxonomy places the organism in Eukaryota, Metazoa, Arthropoda, Insecta, Diptera, Tephritidae. The record is from RefSeq and is a predicted model, not a curated record.
UCGUUACAGCCGCGAAAAAAUGUUUGUGUUUUUUUAACUGGCGCCUGGGCAUUGGGUUAGUUUUAUUAACUGCUACCCGAGUAAAAGUCUUUAAGUACGCUAAGUUUUUAUAUAAAUAUGUAUAUAUAUAAUUGGCGUUGUUUUAAAGGGAAGGACGAAAGGAUAUUUACGUUUGUUAGCCAAGUAGGUAUUUUUCCCAGCCCCUCUUCCUAUUUGUGGCGUACGUCUGUAUGUUGUUUCACAAAUGGUGGGACCUACAGUUUUAAGUUCAUGACAGAAAUACAGUCGGAGGUUUGCCAUUGCCAGCCGAGGGGCGACCGCUAUUAGAACAAAAUUUUUCUUCAUUUUGGUAUUUCACGGAGAUUUGACGCUACGUUCUUCGAAUUCCGAAUGACAGUCACGCACCAACCCAUUCGGCUACGGCGGCCGUCAGUUUAGUCUUCUGAAAAUAAAAUAAAAAACAAGUAAGAACCUGCGGCUUCCGAGUGAAAAUAUAAUUAUACGCGAAAAUAAAAUUACGCUAAAAAGUCCUGAAAACUCCAAGUAAGGACUCGCGAAAAAAUUAUUACGUGAAAAAAGUGCGCUUCGAUAUAUUUCUGAAAUAUAAAGUAAGGAAUUGUUAUAUGCCGUAAGCAUUUCAGACAAUAUUCAAAAAAAGGAUACGCGAAUGGAAAAAUAGCCCGCGAUUAUAGUGGAGAGGCUCCAUAGUAGAUUAUGGCAAACCGGGGGUACAACGUACCAGCCUACACAAUAUAAUAAAAAAACAGUUAUAAAAUCAAUAUAACUAAAGCCAAUAAGCUUGUACAACCAAUAGCUAAACAAAAUAGAGCGACUCACCACAAUUAAAAAAAAGGACAGCAAAAGUCAAAACAAUUAGCAAAGGGGGAAAAAUUUAUAAAAUUUCUAAAAAUAGAAAUACUUUAUGUAGACACCGAAAAGGGAAAAAAUCAAAACAGAUAGUCACAAUCGUUAAAUUUUUGGCACUCAAACGGGCAUAUUGAUGCGGUCGAUCGGGUGAAAAGAAGAGGAAGGGCGAACAGCUGUAACAAGUUCGAGACACGAGAUACGAUCUUUGCUCGUAUACAAACAAAGAACUCGACACGAAGUACAUGCGUCGAUUUGUCUGUGCCUAAGCACUGAGCAAGCAUACGAUAAACUUAUGAAAUUUGGCGUCGUCCAGUCCAUAUUCCAAAUAGUAUUAUAUAAAAUAGUAAUACUUUCAUAGGCGCAGAAGCAGCCUUCUAAAAUAGUCUUUAAUACAACAAAAAAUAUUUCACUCAUAAAAGCAAACGCUUAUUUCUCAAAGUAAGAAUCGACCAUUCAUAAAACGAGCCCACCACAUCUUCCCUCACGCGUGUGAGCUGUCCAUAAGCCAGUUUUCUGGAGGAAGACAAAUACCCUAUGAUCAAAAAGUACCGGGAAUAUGAUGAUGACUGUUUUCUUCGAUUGCCAAGGCGUAGUGCACCAUGAGUAUCUUCCAUCGGGCCAGACAAUCAAUAAAGACUAUUAUUAAUCCGUUUUGAAGCAUUUUAGAGAUGCUGUACGUCUCAAACGGGAGAAAUGUGGGCAAACAAUUCUUGAAUUUUGCAUGAUGAUAACGCACCGUCGCACCGAGCCCAAAUUGUGCUGGAUUAUUUGACCGAACACCAAGUAAAUACCAUCGUGAAAGUACCGUUUUCCUCUGAUAUGGCCCCGUGCGACUUCUUUUUGUUUCCCCAGUUUAAGUUACCACUUCGUGGCAAGAGAUUUCAGUCGAUAGAGGAGAUCAAAGAAAACGCGACGAAGGAGCUGAAGGCCAUCCCUUCGUCGGCCUACCAGGGGUGCAUGCAGG